AACGAACGCUGGCGGCAGGCCUAGCACAUGCAAGUCGAGCGCGCCCUUCGGGGUGAGCGGCGGACGGGUGAGUAACGCGUGGGAACGUGCCCUUUUCUACGGAAUAGCCUCGGGAAACUGAGAGUAAUACCGUAUACGCCCUUUGGGGGAAAGAUUUAUCGGAAAAGGAUCGGCCCGCGUUGGAUUAGGUAGUUGGUGGGGUAAUGGCCUACCAAGCCGACGAUCCAUAGCUGGUUUGAGAGGAUGAUCAGCCACACUGGGACUGAGACACGGCCCAGACUCCUACGGCAGGCAGCAGUGGGGAAUCUUAGACAAUGGGGGCAACCCUGAUCUAGCCAUGCCGCGUGAGUGAUGAAGGCCUUAGGGUUGUAAAGCUCUUUCAGCUGGGAAGAUAAUGACGGUACCAGCAGAAGAAGCCCCGGCUAACUCCGUG
Molecule: ribosomal RNA, 433 nt
Filed under: uncultured bacterium
Lineage: Bacteria
Description: partial 16S ribosomal RNA
Rfam family: Bacterial small subunit ribosomal RNA
Source: RNAcentral